Molecule: ribosomal RNA, 468 nt
Filed under: uncultured bacterium
Lineage: Bacteria
Description: partial 16S ribosomal RNA
Rfam family: Bacterial small subunit ribosomal RNA
Source: RNAcentral
GACGAACGCUGGCGGCGUGCUUAACACAUGCAAGUCGAACGGUCAAGCUCCAGCUUUCUGCAGUGGAUCAGUGCCGAACGGGUGUGUAACACGUGAGCAACCUGCCCCUGUCUCUCUGAUAAGCCCUCGAAACAGCGUCUCAUACUGGAUACGAGAAGGUUCCGCAUGGGCACUUUCUGUAAAGUUUUUCGGUUGUGGAUGGGCUCGCGGCCUAUCAGCUUGUUGGUGUGGUAAUGGCUCUCCAAGGCUACGACGGGUAGCCUGCCUGAGAGGGGUACCGGCCACAAGAGGACUGAGAGAGGGACCAGAAUGAUAAGGGAGGCAGCAGGGGGGAAUAUGGCACAGUGGGCGAAAGCCUGAGGCAGAGACGCCGAGAGAGGGAUGACCGCCUUCGGGGGGUAAACAAAUGUGAGAAGGAAAGAAGAGAAAGUGACGGUACCUGCAGAAGAAGCACCGGCUAACUACGUG